UAGCUGCUUAGAGGAAGCCCCACUCAACAUGGGGCUGUGGUGAAGAUUCAAUGAACUGAUACUCUAACUGCUUAGAAGAAGCCAGGUAAACGUGGGGCUGUCAUAGAGAUUCAAUGAGCUGAUACUGUAGCUGCUUAGAAGAAGCCUGGUCAACAUGGGGCUGUCAUGGAGAUUCAAUGAGCUGAUACUGUAGCUGCUUAGAGGAAGUCUGGCUCAACAUGGGGCGCAUGCACUGUCAGCCUCUAUGACCACCUGCGGCGUCCAAAGGCCCUUGUGCCACAAGGUCAGAGCAUGGGAUGUCAUGGGACAGAAUUCCAAGGAUUAAUCCGACCUGGUGAGGCUUCUCCAGCAGGAGGAGAAAUGGAACCUGAUAUGAGCAGCUGCUGGGAAAAAAGCCCAAGACGAGUUACAAUGCAUCUGUGGAGCACAAGUCAGGGCCUGGAAGAAUGGAGGACGCCAUUGCAAUGUACAAGCAUAUAGAAGUCAAGACCUAAGCCCAGCAUCUUCCUGUGUUCUCUCUGGCUGGAGUGACGAUUGAAGAUCAUUUAACCUGAAUGUCCACAUUGAGAUCUGCUCAUACUAACAGCACUUUCAGAAUUGUAUAUAUUAAUAACCCAAUUUUUUAUAGAUAUGGUAGCACAAAAUACUAAAUAUGAAAAGUAGGUGUAUUAGUCUGUUCUCAUGCUGCUGUAAGGACAUAUCCGAGACUGAGUAAUUUAUAAAGGAAGGAGGCUUAAUUGACUCACAGUUAUGCAGGACUAGGGAGGCCUCAGGAAACUUAGAAGGGGAAGCAAACACUUCCUUCUUCACAUGGCGCAGCAAGGAGAAGAAUGGGUGCUCAGAGAAGGGAAGUCCCUGAUAAAACCAUCAGCUCUCGUGAGAACUCACUCAUGAGAGUGAGAACAGGAUGGGGGAAACUGCCCCCAUGAUUCAGUUUUCUCUACCUGGUCCUUCCCAUGACACGUGGGGAUUAUGGGAACUAUAAUUCCAGAUGAGAUUUGGGUGGGGACACAGCCAGACCAUAUCGGUCGUGGGGAUUAUGGGAACUAUAAUUCCAGAUGAGGUUUGGGUGGGGACACAGCCAGACCAUAUCAGUAGGCAUAGGAAGAAAUAAGUGGACUUAAAAGAAUUAUGCCUUAGAAAAACAAAAUACCCCGUGAAUCAACUGGGUUUACAUGAACAAAUAAAAGAGGAGCUACACAAAAUCCUAUGUAUUUAGUGACAAAAAGACAAUGAAAAAAAUUGUAUUUUCAGUCUUCUGUCCCAAAUCAGAAGUUUUAGUGCCUGUUCAUUUGAAAAUGACUUUUUAAAACCCAUGAAGUUAUUUUUAAUGGGAGUCUUAUUUAUUAAAGAUUCUUCUUGCUAUCUGCAGAUCCCAACAAGAUUCUUCGGUGUCCUCAGCUUGUUCGUCUCCCUUUCCUUGGUAGACUUUUCUCUUGGUCUGUACUUGAAGUGCCUCCUGCCAAGUAGGAAAUGAAGAGUCAGUCCAUGUGCCGGGCUCAGGCCCUGCCGUUUUAGUGGCUUAAUGGAUGGCUUGGCACAACUAGGGAGCAAUGGUAUCUCCCACCCUGAGAUGGACACUGUUGCACUCAGAGUGGCCAGCAGGGUGUGGGUUGACCCUAGUAGCACAUUAAGCUCAGUUCAGAGUGGCAGGAACUUCAGCCACCAGGAGAAUGUGCAAGGGCCACCCAAACUGUAGGACAAGCUAGGAAUCCAGUAAAGAAGAGGUCCCUGGCAGUCCCUUUGGAAUCCCUGUGACUCCUUCUUUCAUUCAUUCCUUCAUUCAUUCAACAAAUAGGUGUUGAGCACUUGUGACAUGCCAACUUCUGUUUUGGGCAUUCAAGAUACAUCAGUAAACAAAACAGGCAAAGAUUGAUUGCUGCCUUCAUGGAGCUUAUGUGCUGGGGAGGGAGGUAUGCA
This 1920-nucleotide long non-coding RNA is filed under the name Macaca mulatta (Rhesus monkey). Its description in RNAcentral is "lncRNA (ENSMMUG00000063411.1)". Lineage: Eukaryota; Metazoa; Chordata; Mammalia; Primates; Cercopithecidae. The record is from RNAcentral.